This 300-nucleotide ribosomal RNA is filed under the name uncultured bacterium. RNAcentral describes it as "bacterial SSU rRNA". It matches the Rfam family "Bacterial small subunit ribosomal RNA", at positions 335 to 652 of the family's 1533-position model. The record is from RNAcentral.
UUGCCUACGGGAGGCAGCAGUGGGGGAUAUUGCACAAUGGGGGAAACCCUGAUGCAGCGACGCCGCGUGUGGGAAGACGGUCCUCUGGAUUGUAAACCACUGUCCCCAGGGACGAAGAUGACGGUACCUGGGGAGGAAGCUCCGGCUAACUACGUGCCAGCAGCCGCGGUAAUACGUAGGGAGCGAGCGUUAUCCGGAUUUAUUGGGUUUAAAGGGUGCGUAGGCGGGCUUUUAAGUCAGCGGUAAAAAUUCGGGGCUCAACCCCGUCCGGCCGUUGAAAAUGGGGGCCUUGAGGGGGCG